UACGUAGGGUGCAAGCGUUAAUCGGAAUUAUUGGGCGUAAAGCGCGCGCAGGCGGUCCUUUAAGUCUGAUGUGAAAGCCCACGGCUCAACCGUGGAGGGUCAUUGGAAACUGGGGGACUUGAGUGCAGGAGAGAAGAGUGGAAUUCCACGUGUAGCGGUGAAAUGCGUAGAUAUCUGGAGGAACACCGGUGGCGAAGGCGGCAUCCUGGACUACUACUGACGCUGAGGAGCGAAAGCCAGGGGAGCAAACGGG
Molecule: ribosomal RNA, 253 nt
Filed under: uncultured bacterium
Lineage: Bacteria
Description: partial 16S ribosomal RNA
Rfam family: Bacterial small subunit ribosomal RNA
Source: RNAcentral